GAUGAACGCUAGCGGCAGGCUUAACACAUGCAAGUCGAGGGGCAGCACGGACUUCGGUCUGGUGGCGACCGGCAAACGGGUGCGGAACACGUACACAAUCUACCUUUAUCUGGGGUAUAGCCCGAAGAAAUUCGGAUUAAUCCCCCAUAAUAUAUUAGAGUGGCAUCACUUCGAUAUUAAAACUCCGGUGGAUAAAGAUGAGUGUGCGUGCCAUUAGCUAGUUGGUAGGGUACCGGCCUACCAAGGCAACGAUGGGUAGCUGGUGGGAGAGCCAGACCAGCCAAACGGGCACUGAGACACGGGCCCGACUCCUACGGGAAGCAGCAGUGAGUAUUAUUGGUGAAUGGACGCAAGUCUGAACCCGCCAUGCCGCGUGAAUGAGGAAGGCCUUCUGGGUUGUAAACUUCUUUUAUUGGGGAAGAAAAUUACGGUUUCUACUGUAACCAACGGUACCCAAGGAAUAAGCACCGGCUAACUCCGUGCCGGCAGCAGCCGCAG
This 498-nucleotide ribosomal RNA is filed under the name uncultured bacterium. RNAcentral's name for it is "partial 16S ribosomal RNA". It matches the Rfam family "Bacterial small subunit ribosomal RNA", at positions 28 to 523 of the family's 1533-position model. The record is from RNAcentral.